GAGUAGGGCGGGACACGUGGUAUCCUGUCUGAAUAUGGGGGGACCAUCCUCCAAGGCUAAAUACUCCUGACUGACCGAUAGUGAACCAGUACCGUGAGGGAAAGGCGAAAAGAACCCCGGCGAGGGGAGUGAAAAAGAACCUGAAACCGUGUACGUACAAGCAGUGGGAGCACCUUCGGGUGUGACUGCGUACCUUUUGUAUAAUGGGUCAGCGACUUAUAUUCUGUAGCAAGGUUAACCGUAUAGGGGAGCCGCAGGGAAACCGAGUCUUAACUGGGCGUUAAGUUGCAGGGUAUAGACCCGAAACCCGGUGAUCUAGCCAUGGGCAGGUUGAAGGUUGGGUAACACUAACUGGAGGACCGAACCGACUAAUGUUGAAAAAUUAGCGGAUGACUUGUGGCUGGGGGUGAAAGGCCAAUCAAACCGGGAGAUAGCUGGUUCUCCCCGAAAGCUAUUUAGGUAGCGCCUCGUGAAUUCAUCUUCGGGGGUAGAGCACUGUUUCGGCUAGGGGGUCAUCCCGACUUACCAACCCGAUGCAAACUACGAAUACCGAAGAAUGUUAUCACGGGAGACACACGGCGGGUGCUAACGUCCGUCGUGAAGAGGGAAACAACCCAGACCGCCAGCUAAGGUCCCAAAGUCAUGGUUAAGUGGGAAACGAUGUGGGAAGGCACAGACAGCCAGGAUGUUGGCUUAGAAGCAGCCAUCAUUUAAAGAAAGCGUAAUAGCUCACUGGUCGAGUCGGCCUGCGCGGAAGAUGUAACGGGGCUAAACCAUGCACCGAAGCUGCGGCAGCGACACUAUGUGUUGUUGGGUAGGGGAGCGUUCUGUAAGCCUGCGAAGGUGACCUGUGAGGGUUGCUGGAGGUAUCAGAAGUGCGAAUGCUGACAUAAGUAACGAUAAAGCGGGUGAAAAGCCCGCUCGCCGGAAGACCAAGGGUUCCUGUCCAACGUUAAUCGGGGCAGGGUGAGUCGACCCCUAAGGCGAGGCCGAAAGGCGUAGUCGAUGGGAAACAGGUUAAUAUUCCUGUACUUGGUGUUACUGCGAAGGGGGGACGGAGAAGGCUAUGUUAGCCGGGCGACGGUUGUCCCGGUUUAAGCAUGUAGGCUGAUUAUCCAGGCAAAUCCGGAUAAUCAAGGCUGAGGUGUGAUGACGAGGCACUACGGUGCUGAAGUAACAAAUGCCCUGCUUCCAGGAAAAGCCUCUAAGCAUCAGGUAACAUCAAAUCGUACCCCAAACCGACACAGGUGGUCAGGUAGAGAAUACCAAGGCGCUUGAGAGAACUCGGGUGAAGGAACUAGGCAAAAUGGUGCCGUAACUUCGGGAGAAGGCACGCUGGUGUGUAGGUGAAGUCCCUGCGGAUGGAGCUGAGACCAGUCGAAGAUACCAGCUGGCUGCAACUGUUUAUUAAAAACACAGCACUGUGCAAACACGAAAGUGGACGUAUACGGUGUGACGCCUGCCCGGUGCCGGAAGGUUAAUUGAUGGGGUUAUCCGUAAGGAGAAGCUCUUGAUCGAAGCCCCGGUAAACGGCGGCCGUAACUAUAACGGUCCUAAGGUAGCGAAAUUCCUUGUCGGGUAAGUUCCGACCUGCACGAAUGGCGUAAUGAUGGCCAGGCUGUCUCCACCCGAGACUCAGUGAAAUUGAACUCGCUGUGAAGAUGCAGUGUACCCGCGGCAAGACGGAAAGACCCCGUGAACCUUUACUAUAGCUUGACACUGAACAUUGAGCCUUGAUGUGUAGGAUAGGUGGGAGGCUUUGAAGCGUGGACGCCAGUCUGCGUGGAGCCAACCUUGAAAUACCACCCUUUAAUGUUUGAUGUUCUAACGUUGGCCCCUUACCGGGGUUGCGGACAGUGUCUGGUGGGUAGUUUGACUGGGGCGGUCUCCUCCCAAAGCGUAACGGAGGAGCACGAAGGUUAGCUAAUCCUGGUCGGACAUCAGGAGGUUAGUGCAAUGGCAUAAGCUAGCUUGACUGCGAGCGUGACGGCGCGAGCAGGUGCGAAAGCAGGUCAUAGUGAUCCGGUGGUUCUGAAUGGAAGGGCCAUCGCUCAACGGAUAAAAGGUACUCCGGGGAUAACAGGCUGAUACCGCCCAAGAGUUCAUAUCGACGGCGGUGUUUGGCACCUCGAUGUCGGCUCAUCACAUCCUGGGGCUGAAGUAGGUCCCAAGGGUAUGGCUGUUCGCCAUUUAAAGUGGUACGCGAGCUGGGUUUAGAACGUCGUGAGACAGUUCGGUCCCUAUCUGCCGUGGGCGCUGGAGAAUUGAGGGGGGCUGCUCCUAGUACGAGAGGACCGGAGUGGACGCAUCACUGGUGUUCGGGUUGUCAUGCCAAUGGCACUGCCCGGUAGCUAAAUGCGGAAGAGAUAAGUGCUGAAAGCAUCUAAGCACGAAACUUGCCCCGAGAUGAGUUCUCCCUGAGACUUUAAGUCUCCUGAAGGAACGUU
RNAcentral lists this ribosomal RNA (2447 nucleotides) under Klebsiella pneumoniae. RNAcentral describes it as "partial 23S ribosomal RNA". It matches the Rfam family "Bacterial large subunit ribosomal RNA", at positions 410 to 2839 of the family's 2925-position model. The record is from RNAcentral. Lineage: Bacteria; Pseudomonadati; Pseudomonadota; Gammaproteobacteria; Enterobacterales; Enterobacteriaceae.